Gambusia affinis (western mosquitofish) is the source of this 7212-nucleotide long non-coding RNA. RefSeq lists it as uncharacterized. The transcript is spliced from 2 exons. NCBI's taxonomy places the organism in Eukaryota, Metazoa, Chordata, Actinopteri, Cyprinodontiformes, Poeciliidae. The record is from RefSeq and is a predicted model, not a curated record.
ACAAAAGUUGAUUACGAUAGAGUUGAUCGUGAUCUGUGCCUAGGACAGCCUGGGACAAAAGUUGAUUACGAUAGAGUUGAUCGUGAUCUGUGCCUAGGACAGCCUGGGACAAAAGUUGAUUGCGAUAGAAUUGAUCGCGAUCUGUGCCUGGGACGGCCUGGGACAAAAGUUGAUUGCGAUAGAAUUGAUCGCGAUCUGUGCCUGGGACGGCCUGGGACAAAAAAGUUGAUUGCGAUAAAGUUGAUCGCGACCUGUGCCUGGGACAAAAAAGUUGAUUGCGAUAAAGUUGAUUGCGACCUGUGCCUGGGACGAAAAGUUGAUUGCGAUAAAGUUGAUCGCGACCUGUGCCUGGGACAAAAAGUUGAUUGCGAUAAAGUUGAUCGCGACCUGUGCCUGGGACGAAAAGUUGAUUGCGACAAAGCUGAUCGCGAUCUGAGCCUGGGACGAAGUAUAACUGAAAAGAGAAUAAGAGAUUUCUUCUGUGUGGGAAGAAAAUAAAGACGUUUUCUUUGUGGGAAGACGAAUAUGAGUUAGAAUAAAAGAGAACGUCCAGGGCUCAAAGCGGGGAUCCUUUUAAGUGUUCUCUGUCUGUUUGUCAGCUCCGCCGAGAGCGGAGUGCGUGUGUGUCAGCUGUGGGUGUGAGAGCUGCAGACGUUUUUGCUCUCAUGUGUUCUGGUGCUGGUGAACUGUAAUUUAAACACGGUUAAACACGACAAAACAAACCGUGUUUAAGUUAUCAAGUGUGUGUCGUCCGCCGCCGUGCGGACAGUUAAAGAGGUUUGACUUUGUCUGUGGUGUUGUCUCGUCGCCGUACGAGCAGGUGCCGCCGUGCCCACUAAACAAAACAUAAGGUGAUUUCUGAAUUUGCAAAAUGGAGAGUGACUCCAGGGAUGAGGGUUACGACUCAAAGUGGGGCACAGGCCCUUGGGUGACUCUCGGGGAACAAAUAGACGGACUAAUAACUUAUCUGGCGGAGCAAGAUGAAUUUCAAAAUAAAGGGGAAGAACAAAAAUAAAAACAGAGACCUCCGCCGUGUGUGUGAGUAAUAAAUUAUAAAAAAAAAAAAAAAAAGGCAGGGAGGAGAGAAGAGGUGAUUCUUGCUCCAGGCAUGGCAGACGAGGUCGACAGGAAGAAAUUUGAUUUAAAAGGGGGUAUAGGACCUUUGUUUAUGGUUGGUGAGCAAAUAGAGGGAAUAACUAGCAUAACUAGAAGAAAAUCUACAAUCACUAAAAUUUCAGCAAAAGAUCUAACAAAAUUUAUGCUACUAAAUUUCACCAACUUAAAAUUAUCAGAGUCUAAGCUAAUAAUGAUUUGUAAAACUUUCUCUCCUUUAUUAAAAAAGAAAAGAAGGAAUAUUCCGGUAAUACAUGCUAGUUUGAAAUUAAAUUGAACAGUUUUAAGGGCUGAAAAUAAUUGAGACUGAAGUGUUUAUAUACCAUAAAGUAUUUGUUGCAUUUAAACUGAACAGUUAAUUUAGAAUUUCAUUCUAUAAAUGAAUUUACAUUUUAUUAAAAUGGGUGAAGUGCUCUAGCAGCAGGUAGUUCAGUUACUGCUGGAUUCUAACAUAUGUCUGACAUAGUUUUAAUAACAAUAAAUAAAUACAUGAAUGAAUAAAUAAUAAAUAAAAAUGUGCGCAUUACCUAAAAACAGGAACCUGACAACUAAAAGAUAAUAUUAACAUAUUAAAUAUGUUAACUAAUAUUGGAAAUUUCAUGAAGCUUCAAUAAAAUUGAUAAUUUGAGCAUAGGAAAACAAGAAAAGCAGACUGAAAAUUUGUGACUAACUGAAAAUCAGAUAAAUAUUUAUGUUUCUGUUUGUGCUGCUUUGGUUGAUGAAAAUUAGUGUGAUUAUGAGAACAAACAAACCGUACUCAAGCACUGAGUAACUGAUGAAGUUAUUAAUUAUUUAAUAAAUAAUAAUUAUAAAAAGAUGUCUACUGCUAUAAAAUAAAAGAUUAAAGGAAACUUUGAUUUAAAUAACUGGUUACUUCAAACUGAUGAUUGUGAAUAUAAAUAACAUUUUCUAGACUAAAGUUUAAACUAGGUUUGACUGAUUGAUUGAUGAUUAUUAAAUUCAUAAAGACAUAUUGAAUUAGAGGAUUUUAGAUUUGGUUUAAUUUUAGGACGGUAAUUUUUGUUUAAAAAGUGUAAAAACCCAAGAAAAAAACAAUGUUCUGCAGAGGACUUAACUUUGGGUUGUGUCAUCUGUCAGAAUCAGACAGAAGUGUUCCACCUUGAUGAAUUUGACAACAUCUACAUGUAAGAUUUCUGAUUAAUUGCCUCUUUGUUAACAAGUCUCCUACAAACAAUGUCACUACCAGGUAAAACUAAUAAUUUUUAAGCGUGCCAUGCACACCACAGGACAGGAUGAAGCUCUAUAAGGGACAUAGGUCAGCUGAUCAAAUGUUAAAAUAACAAAAGCAGCAACAGGAUAACAUAGAACUGGAAUCCUCUUAAAUUAAGAUAAAAAAGAGCAAACAAUAGAUAAAAUUGUUCUAGCUGACAUGCAGGCAAAUGCUCCAAUAGCAAGAUCACAAAUGAGAAUAAUUAAAAGAGGCAACACUGAAUGAUAAUAAAAUUUUUCAAUUAAAAACAAAAACAGAAAGAGGCAGGAGUUUUCACUAAAAGAGGCUGAAGACAAAACAGGCAGACUGCAGAGACAGAACUCAGGCAAAAUGAAAACUAUUGGGUUCCUGACAGGGACAAUAACAUAAAAUAAUUUUUUUUAAAAAAAGGGUCAUUGCCACCAGCUCUGAACACACUAGCAUAAAAAUACACACUUGACUAUUUUCGUUUUGGGCAAAAUCAAGAACAUGAAUGCUCUUAAAGGGCCAGUUGUACCAGAAUGUAUUGAUAAAAGCCAUUCACAAACUGUUAAAAUAUCACGCAUUUCUUAAAUAUCAUUGAAUUUUUGUGAUUUUUUGCAAUAAAAAGUGUUUGUGGUAGCAAUUUGGAAAUAUUUGCACUUAUUUAUGACGGUAAAUUUGACUUUUUAUUACUCGCUGUACAGGUCAUAUAAUGGGAAAUCAAUUAGGUUUGAGGCAGCUGUUUAGUUCAAGUAAGGAAGUUUCACAUUUUUUAUUAAAACUGCAAAAACUCCCAAUUAUUUGCUCAGAAAAGUGCAGGGAUUUGUUGAUUUUGGUGAAUUUCCCUGAUAAUUCUAAAAGAAACUGGAGCGACUGAUUGAUAUAAUUUGGCAGUAAACGGAUAGAACUGCAUUAAUUUGAUUGAUGACAUAAUAUUUAAGCACACUUAGUGUUUAGUUUAGAAUCUGGAGGGCCGCACAAACCCACAGCGGGCUGGAUUUGGCCCACAGGCCUUCAGUUUGACACGUGUUCUAAGCGGAUAUAUCCCCUAAUUAAUAUCACAGAAGGUACUUUGACAGUCAAGGGGGAACUGCUACCCCACAAAACUUCAGGAGUCCACACUGGGAAUAGAACCCCGACUUGGACUGUAUUAGAUCAAACCCCAUCAUCACCAAAUCCCAUGUUUGGUCCCAACUAAAUGACAUUAUAUCUAGAAACCUGGCUCAGAAAAUCUACAGUUAAUCUUAAAGGUCCAUGCACAAACUUAAUUGAAAUGUUUAAAGAAGCAGUUUUAAAAGGCCCCUGAAUAUGUUAUGCAGUCUAUAAAACACAAUCAAUGAUCUUGCAGGGUGUGAACAUGUGAGAUGGAAAAGACACCUGCUUCAUCACCUCUUAAAGGCGCAGGACGAAUAAAAAUAAAAAACAGUCUUGAGGGCUUAGGCACUCAGACGCUGAAACUCCAAUUGCAGGAAGCAAAACAAAAUUACAUUACUUAAAUAAUAAUAAUAAAAAAAAAAAAAAAAAAACAAGAACAUGUGAUGGUUGCAGCAGCAUCUUCUCAAAAUAAAUCUACACAGGGUAAAAUUCCAAAUUACUGGCAAAACUCUAAUCAUACUGGGGGGGGGAACUGGUUCCUCCUCCUGCUUUUUCUUUUUUAUAUCCUCAAACAGAUACAGAGCGUUUCCUCGUGGACGGGGAUGGCGUUUGGCUGGAUGUGGAUGGGGGCCAUGGGGCAAGGUCACGGAGCACGAGGCCAAGGGCCAAAGGAACUUGACGUGCUACCAGUGCAGACAUUUUGGACACUGGGCCAAACACUGUGUGAACAUACCAAAGACUGCCAGGUUUGAUCCCCAACAAUCCUUAUGUGAUUCCUGGACAUUGCUUUCAGGGGAAUACUGAGGCCACACAGAACAUCUACUGAAACACUGCUGAGGACCCCGGAGACAAUGGUUCUCAUGGACUGAACAGAGUCUGCUAUUCACGAUGCCUCUGACCUUCACCUUGGGUAAUCAGAAUAUGAAACAUUCUUUUGUAAGUUUUCCUACGACUCCCAUGAAUUUACUUGAGCGAGCUUUGCUGAUAAAGAUGGCAGCAACAAUCAUGUGCUCGGCUGAUGGAAUAAUUGUUGCUUUUCCUGAUGGCACCUCCCUUCUUUGUGGAAAUUUCCAAACAGAAGGACAGUAUCUGAUCCAGCCAGUGGUGUCUGAGUUUGCUGACAUCUAUUGGGGACUUUUAACAAAUUUACCCUACAGCAGCCUAAUGUCAACGUUCUUGGCCUGGAAGCCCUGGCUCCUGUGUCUGCGCUUCUGUGUUCCUCCUCCGGGUCCACCACACGUGACCCUGUUCUGCGACAGAGACGCCUCUGAAUGGUACCAGGAACCUUUCCUUUCCACUUUGAAGGAAACAACCUGGCAGGUAAAAGUCUCGGACAUUUAUGUAGCUCCUGUUGGUGUAGCUGCUGCUGUCUCUUUCGCAAAAAAAAAACAAUCAGAAUGGUAUUAAAUGUCUCACAUUUCUCUCUGUUUGCACCCUGAGCACCAAGUGAAAAAUUGGGCGUGAUGAUGAAACGUUCCCUGGCAGCCACAGAUUCGAUUGCCACAGCAGCACUAGGUUUGUUUUCCUCCCAUACUCUUUACACAUGUAAUAUCUGUCAUUCAGGGUCUGAUCACAUAAUAAGUCUUAAAGGAAAAUGUACUGCAAUUUUCCAUAAAUCAGUGACCUUAGACAUUCUGAUGAGGCUCCUUGGUUUGUAAAAGUAACAAUCUUCAAACAUAUUUGUCAGCAUAUCUACAUUUCUUAAUUAAAUGGUUUUCUUUAUAUUGUUUGGUAAGAUAUUCCGAUUUAAUCUGUCAUAUUUCCAUUAACUGUAAGCAUAAAAUUAUUGUCAUUACUAGACUUAAAGACUUUAGUUAUGUGUUUCACUUUUUGAACUGAUUUACUAAAAUAAAUUAACAUUUAAUAUGCAAUGCAUAAAAAUAUUUUUAACGUUGAAUGUUCCCUCAUAAUGGAAUCGAUUUUAGUUUAACCAGGUUUUGCAAGAUAUUUUGCAGGACUGCCCACUAGACCUUUUGCUUGCUGCACCAGUAACAGAGACCUGCGUUAAAGCCACCUCUCUGGUUUUGCAGUGCCUGCGUCAAACAGAUUUUAAGGUCAGUAAAAGCAGAUUGCUCGAAAACAGGCUAAGUUUCUGGGUAGAAUAAUUUCAGCAGGAACGACUGGCAUGUCCCCAUGGAACAAGCUUUUGUCUCUCUCCAACAACACAUGGCUUCGGCUGCAGAGCUCUCCAUCCCUGAAUACAUUUUACAGUUCUUUGAGGAUAUUUCUGGAACAAAACUGACUGUUUUGUUUCAGAAAAAGGGGGAGGAAAAGGGCAUCACCCUUGUACACAACAGGCAGCUGGGAUACCUGCUGCCUGAUACAAAAACUGAACACAUAGUCAUGGGACAUUCACUGAGUUUCACCAUGACAGCGUUGAGGCAACAAACACUUUCCAAAGUCCUGAAAGCUCCAAACAUUUCAUUCACACACCAAGACAUAAAUAUGGCAGACUGUUUUUCAGAAGGAGAACCACACGUGUGCAGACCUGGUGGCAAAGACAGACAAGGUAACACCAGGACUUCAGCAGCUCCUCUGCUGGGACCAGAGGUGAGACAGUUCUUUACAGAUGGUUGUUGUUUCAGAAACAACACACAAGGGUUAAGAGCCUGGAAGAGGUGGUAAGAUGCCAAAAGGGGGCGCCACCUGAAGAGAAAAACGUGAAACAAAUGGGUGCUGGAGGGGCCCAGAUGGCAGGUUAAUUCUGCCUCCUGGGAAAAUACAAGAGCUGCUCCAAGAAGCUCACAGGGUUGGAUAUGUUGGGACGAAGCAGAUGAUGCACAAUCUUAAAGAGUGGUGGCACCUCAAAUGAUCCACAUGGUGAAACAUUUUGUUAAGAAUUGUUCGGUGUGCGGACAGUUCAACCCUAAGAAAACUUUGAACCCACAUCAGGGACAGUUUCCUCCAGUCACAUGUCCAGGGAAAGAAAUUGUGUUGGAUUUUACUGACAUGAUAAACCCGGUGCAAGACAAAAAUAUUUGCUGAUUUGUGUUGAUGCUUUCACAGGAUGGCCUGAAGCCUGGCCAGCAACAGCAGAAGAUAGUAAAAUCAUCAUAAAAUGUCUAAUCAAUCAUUACCUCCCAAGGCAAAGCAGAAUGAAUGAAUCAAAAUUUAAAACAAAAUUGGCUAAGGUUUGUGCACAAACAAAAUUAAAUUGGGUCGAUACAUUACACAGAAACCAACUUGUGGUUAGACUGAUUAACUGCAACAGCACGAUAAUAUCAAAUGUCUAACUGUGUGGCCUGCACAGCUGGACGACCCAGAAUCUAUACUGAACCUGCUUCUUUGAUUCCAUCUGACAUUUGGGGUUUUAACUGCAUGUUUAAUAUGACUAAGUUUCAACAGCCCUCUAGAUGUGACACUUUAACAGCUUUAUUUCCAGUAAUCAACAGCGGAGCCCGGAUGGUGCCGCUAUUCCAGUUAAAGAUAACUAUGUCUAUUUCAAUUUUACAACAGGUAACCGCAGUGUGGGCCGGAUCCCUGAAAGUUGGUGUAACAUCACAUUCCCACAGCACUUAAUAGGCUAGAGAUGGGAUAUUUUAUCUAUGCAGGGGUAAUAAACUAAUUGAGAGAACAUAGACUGGUGUGACAGGUGUCUGUGCUAUGGUGAGACUUAGAGCCUGUGUCAUCAUGGUAGGUGAACAACAACCUCUGAAUCACAGCAUCUUUUCACAGGUCAAGUGCAGCGCAACUGUGGAGCUGCAACUUUCCAGAUUUUAAAUGUAAAAAGUCCAAUCCUUUCUCGGUGUGCCUGGAUGAAAAUGAGGCAUCUGGACACACGUAGAAACUGGUUGACAUCAACAGAUACUAGA